This 292-nucleotide ribosomal RNA is filed under the name uncultured bacterium. RNAcentral's name for it is "partial 16S ribosomal RNA". It matches the Rfam family "Bacterial small subunit ribosomal RNA", at positions 505 to 796 of the family's 1533-position model. The record is from RNAcentral.
GUGCCAGCCGCCGCGGUAAUACGAAGGGUGCAAGCGUUACUCGGAAUUACUGGGCGUAAAGCGUGCGUAGGCGGUUUGUUAAGUCUGUCGUGAAAGCCCCGGGCUCAACCUGGGAAUGGCGAUGGAAACUGGCGAGCUAGAGUACGGUAGAGGAGAGUGGAAUUCCCGGUGUAGCAGUGAAAUGCGUAGAGAUCGGGAGGAACAUCAGUUGCGAAGGCGGCUCUCUGGACCAGUACUGACGCUGAGGCACGAAAGCGUGGGGAGCAAACAGGAUUAGAUACCCUCGUAGUCC